UAUAGUGCAUUGUUUGUUAAACUUAACUUGAGGACAAAAUAACAAAAUAUAUCCAGUACACGAUGUAAUCUAGAUCAUGCAAACAUUCAGAGAUGUCUUCAAUAAUCCUGUGAGAACCACACAACAAUGAACAACCAACAUUGUACAUAUAUUUAUGAAUGAAAGAUUCGAUAGAAGAAACACAUAUUAAACAGAUUCCACAAAAAAAAUGAACCGUAUUGGGAAUCACAUUACCUCAGCCUUUUCAAUAACAAAACAGGUUCAUUCCAGCCUCACGGCAUGAAGGGUCUUCUUUGCAAAUUGUCCAGAACCGAUCCAAAAUCCUGGAAAUAUAUGAUAAAAUUAAUAUUUAUUCAAUUACGAAACAUUUUAAGAUCUUACCGUUGUGGUAUUGAAUUCUUCUUCAUUAUCAUCUGGAUUUACAGGUUCUAGAAUCUCUGGAACUAAUAAUAAAAAAUAAUAUACAAUUUUACAGUGCCA
Long non-coding RNA from Harmonia axyridis, 480 nucleotides. RefSeq lists it as uncharacterized. The transcript is spliced from 2 exons. Lineage: Eukaryota; Metazoa; Arthropoda; Insecta; Coleoptera; Coccinellidae. The record is from RefSeq and is a predicted model, not a curated record.